GUGUUAGCUUUGACAGCUCAGAUACUAAAAUUAGAACAAAGAUUAUCUUGAUUCUUGCACCAGGAUGACAUGCAAAUUCAUGAAGCAUCCCACAUUUUU
Castor canadensis (American beaver) is the source of this 99-nucleotide small nuclear RNA. The record is from Ensembl. NCBI's taxonomy places the organism in Eukaryota, Metazoa, Chordata, Mammalia, Rodentia, Castoridae.